RNAcentral lists this ribosomal RNA (253 nucleotides) under uncultured bacterium. RNAcentral's name for it is "partial 16S ribosomal RNA". It matches the Rfam family "Bacterial small subunit ribosomal RNA", at positions 524 to 776 of the family's 1533-position model. The record is from RNAcentral.
UACGUAGGGUGCAGGCGUUAAUCGGAAUUACUGGGCGUAAAGCGUGCGCAGGCGGUUUCUUAAGUCAGAUGUGAAAGCCCCGGGCUUAACCUGGGAACUGCGUUUGAAACUGGGAGACUUGAGUGUGGCAGAGGGGGGUGGAAUUCCACGUGUAGCAGUGAAAUGCGUAGAUAUGUGGAGGAACACCGAUGGCGAAGGCAGCCCCCUGGGUUAACACUGACGCUCAUGUACGAAAGCGUGGGGAGCAAACAGG